Molecule: long non-coding RNA, 167 nt
Organism: Perognathus longimembris pacificus (Pacific pocket mouse)
Lineage: Eukaryota; Metazoa; Chordata; Mammalia; Rodentia; Heteromyidae
Exons: 2
Source: RefSeq, a predicted model, not a curated record
UUAAAAAUAAAAAAAUGGGGGCUGGGAAUAUGGCCUAGUGGUAAAGUGCUCAGUGCUUGCCUCGUAUACAUGAAGCCCUGGGUUCGAUUCCCCAGCACCACAUAUAUAGAAAAUGGCCACAAGUGGCACUGUGGCUCAAGUGGCAGAGUGCUAGCCUUGAGCAAAAA